RNAcentral lists this ribosomal RNA (760 nucleotides) under Cortinarius sp. 3 RT-2012. RNAcentral describes it as "eukaryotic LSU rRNA". The stretch from base 265 to 418 matches the Rfam family "5.8S ribosomal RNA". Lineage: Eukaryota; Fungi; Basidiomycota; Agaricomycetes; Agaricales; Cortinariaceae. The record is from RNAcentral.
CGUAGGUGAACCUGCGGAAGGAUCAUUAUUGAAAUAAACCUGAUGGGUUGCUGCUGGCUCUCUCGGGAGCAUGUGCACACUUGUCAUCUUUAUAUCUCCACCUGUGCACCUUUUGUAGAUCUGGAUAUUUUUCUGAAUGCCUGGCAUUCAGGUUUGAGGAUUGACUUUUGUCUUUCCUUACAUUUCCAGGCCUAUGUUUUCUUCAUAUACACCAUUUAUGUUAUAGAAUGUAAUAAAGGGCCUUUGUGCCUACAAACCUUAUACAACUUUCAGCAACGGAUCUCUUGGCUCUCGCAUCGAUGAAGAACGCAGCGAAAUGCGAUAAGUAAUGUGAAUUGCAGAAUUCAGUGAAUCAUCGAAUCUUUGAACGCACCUUGCGCUCCUUGGUAUUCCGAGGAGCAUGCCUGUUUGAGUGUCAUUAAUAUAUCAACCUCCUCAGGUUUUGACUUGUCGAGUGUUUGGAUGUGGGGGUCUUUUGCUGGUCUCUUUUGAGGUCGGCUCCCCUAAAAUGCAUUAGCGGAACAAUUUGUUGACCCGUUCAUUGGUGUGAUAACUAUCUACGCUUUUGAGGUGAAACAGGUUCAGCUUCUAACAGUCCAUUAACUUGGACAAAUUUUCAUUAAUGUGACCUCAAAUCAGGUAGGACUACCCGCUGAACUUAAGCAUAUCAAUAAGCGGAGGAAAAGAAACUAACAAGGAUUCCCCUAGUAACUGCGAGUGAAGCGGGAAAAGCUCAAAUUUAAAAUCUGGCAGUCUUUGG